This 1108-nucleotide long non-coding RNA is filed under the name Citrus x clementina. Its description in RNAcentral is "Citrus clementina (C. clementina) long non-coding RNA (CCLE_LNC005336)". Lineage: Eukaryota; Viridiplantae; Streptophyta; Magnoliopsida; Sapindales; Rutaceae. The record is from RNAcentral.
AUUCUACAAGAGUUCUGAUAUUUGCCCCGGAUCAAACCCCGAAACUAAACAAAACGGCGUCGUUUUGUUUUUUAUUUUUUAUUUUUUGGUUUCUCGAAAACGCUGCCGUUUCACUUAUCAUUUCCAAAACCUGUGAACGAGAUAGAUAGAAUCCAGCCAUUCGUUUCUUCUUUUCUUCGUUUCUUCCUUACCAAAAAAUUCGUUACUUUCCUUCCUCGACUGAGGUCCAGCCAUUCGGGAUCUACAACAGAACGCUUCAUCCUCUUCGUCUUAAGCUGAAGAAAGUGAUUAACAAAGAACACACCCAUUUAGUGAAGAAAGUGAUUAACAGUAGCUGCAAAAUUUGUCCUUGAAAGCUGAGUUUCGACGGAACAAGACCAACAGCAGCUGCGAAGUUUCGACAUAACAAGAUUAACAUUGUCCCUGAAAGCUUGAAUUUUCGAAGCUUGAAUUUAUUUUUGAGAUGUUGAUAUGUAAUGGGUCAUUUUGGAAAUCUUAUGUAAUGUACUGAAUUUUUCUUUAGCCGUUUAGAUUGUGCCUUCCAGAUGCUUGUGAAAAUGUAUGUUGAAUGUUAGAAGUCCUGCUUUAGAAAAUUUGAAUUAUUGGGCACUUUCAUUUGCUUAAACAAGUACUUUAUGAGCUCUCUCAUCGUUGAAACAAAUUUUGCAUAUAAAUAGCUUGGAAAAAAAAGAAAAAAACUUCCAAUAUAGUGGAUCAAGCUAAUGAAGCGUUGUCUUCAUUUUCUUGAUGCUCCAAGAGUAACUGCAAGAAGUCAUCAUUACUUCCUUCAGUAUUGUUCCCUGCUGCUGCUUCUUCACCAUUAACAACAAACUUCGUUUCUACACUUUCAACAGUAGAACUUAUAAUAUAUUAAUGCUGCGUUUACUUUUUGGAUUGAAGUGGGAAUCCUGAGGAGUGGGAAUCAUUGGAUUAGGAGUGUGGAGUAAGAGUGGGAAUAAGGUGUUUACUUAGACUAAAUGAAAGUAUGGAUUGUCAAUCAGAAUCCCAAUUAUUUGUUUACUUUGUCUUAGAUUGAGAGUAAAUUGUUUUAAAUUACAAUUUUAUCCUUAUGUACAGAAUCAUAAUUUGUAAUUAAAAAAUUAAUAAA